GUUGUUGGGUAGGGGAGCGUUCUGUAAGCCUGUGAAGGUGGCCUGUGAGGGUUGCUGGAGGUAUCAGAAGUGCGAAUGCUGACAUAAGUAACGAUAAAGCGGGUGAAAAGCCCGCUCGCCGGAAGACCAAGGGUUCCUGUCCAACGUUAAUCGGGGCAGGGUGAGUCGACCCCUAAGGCGAGGCCGAAAGGCGUAGUCGAUGGGAAACGGGUUAAUAUUCCCGUACUUGGUGUUACUGCGAAGGGGGGACGGAGAAGGCUAUGUUGGCCGGGCGACGGUUGUCCCGGUUUAAGCGUGUAGGUGUGUGUUCCAGGUAAAUCCGGUUCACUUUAACACUGAGGCGUGACGACGAGGCACUACGGUGCUGAAGCAACAAAUGCCCUGCUUCCAGGAAAAGCCUCUAAGCAUCAGGUAACAUCAAAUCGUACCCCAAACCGACACAGGUGGUCAGGUAGAGAAUACCAAGGCGCUUGAGAGAACUCGGGUGAAGGAACUAGGCAAAAUGGUGCCGUAACUUCGGGAGAAGGCACGCUGACACGUAGGUGAAGUGAUUUACUCAUGGAGCUGAAGUCAGUCGAAGAUACCAGCUGGCUGCAACUGUUUAUUAAAAACACAGCACUGUGCAAACACGAAAGUGGACGUAUACGGUGUGACGCCUGCCCGGUGCCGGAAGGUUAAUUGAUGGGGUCAGCGCAAGCGAAGCUCCUGAUCGAAGCCCCGGUAAACGGCGGCCGUAACUAUAACGGUCCUAAGGUAGCGAAAUUCCUUGUCGGGUAAGUUCCGACCUGCACGAAUGGCGUAAUGAUGGCCAGGCUGUCUCCACCCGAGACUCAGUGAAAUUGAACUCGCUGUGAAGAUGCAGUGUACCCGCGGCAAGACGGAAAGACCCCGUGAACCUUUACUAUAGCUUGACACUGAACAUUGAGCCUUGAUGUGUAGGAUAGGUGGGAGGCUUUGAAGUGUGGACGCCAGUCUGCAUGGAGCCGACCUUGAAAUACCACCCUUUAAUGUUUGAUGUUCUAACGUGGACCCGUUA
Molecule: ribosomal RNA, 1036 nt
Filed under: Salmonella enterica subsp. enterica serovar Muenchen
Lineage: Bacteria; Pseudomonadati; Pseudomonadota; Gammaproteobacteria; Enterobacterales; Enterobacteriaceae
Description: partial 23S ribosomal RNA
Rfam family: Bacterial large subunit ribosomal RNA
Source: RNAcentral